Molecule: long non-coding RNA, 385 nt
Filed under: Sorghum bicolor (sorghum)
Lineage: Eukaryota; Viridiplantae; Streptophyta; Magnoliopsida; Poales; Poaceae
Description: long non-coding RNA (SBIC_LNC002758)
Source: RNAcentral
ACAGAAUUCCACGAGUUUUGUUGUUUAUCUGUUUCUGCAGGGGGUUAUCAGGAAAUAAGGAAGAAAGGCCCACAUGUCAGGAUUACAUAGAGAUAUCAACGCACCGCGUAAUUUUACAUCAUCUAGAAGACUCCAGAAGCCACGAGAUCGAAGCGGAGGCAAAACUGGGCCAGGCCCAGGGCGCCCGCCCUGGUAGCCUGGGCGCCCGCCCCCCUGUUGGAGCCAAUUCAGGACUCCUUCGCUCGGGAUAUUCCACCGACCUAUUGGAUCAAGAAAAACAUAGUACCACCUCGCCUAUCGACCCAAAAACGCAUAGAAGGGGAGGACUAUAUAAGCAAGGCCCCCCUGGCCCCUGGAUGACAUGAAGAAAUUAUCAUAGAGACUG